GACGAACGCUGGCGGCGUGCUUAACACAUGCAAGUCGAACGGAAAGGCCCUGCUUUUGUGGGGUGCUCGAGUGGCGAACGGGUGAGUAACACGUGAGUAACCUGCCCUUGACUUUGGGAUAACUUCAGGAAACUGGGGCUAAUACCGGAUAUGAGCUCCUGCUGCAUGGUGUGGGUUGGAAAGUUUCGGCGGUUGGGGAUGGACUCGCGGCUUAUCAGCUUGUUGGUGGGGUAGUGGCUUACCAAGGCUUUGACGGGUAGCCGGCCUGAGAGGGUUACCGGCCACAUUGGGACUGAGAUACGGCCCAGACUCCUACGGGAGGCAGCAGUGGGGAAUAUUGCACAAUGGGCGGAAGCCUGAUGCAGCAACGCCGCGUGCGGGAUGACGGCCUUCGGGUUGUAAACCGCUUUCGCCUGUGACGAAGCGUGAGUGACGGUAAUGGGUAAAGAAGCACCGGCUAACUACGUG
This 468-nucleotide ribosomal RNA is filed under the name uncultured bacterium. Its description in RNAcentral is "partial 16S ribosomal RNA". It matches the Rfam family "Bacterial small subunit ribosomal RNA", at positions 28 to 507 of the family's 1533-position model. The record is from RNAcentral.